Molecule: ribosomal RNA, 288 nt
Filed under: uncultured bacterium
Lineage: Bacteria
Description: partial 16S ribosomal RNA
Rfam family: Bacterial small subunit ribosomal RNA
Source: RNAcentral
GUGGAUUAGAUACCCUGGUAGUCCACGCUGUAAACGGUGGGUACUAGGUGUGGGUUCCUUUUCACGGGAUCCGUGCCGUAGCUAACGCAUUAAGUACCCCGCCUGGGGAGUACGGCCGCAAGGCUAAAACUCAAAGGAAUUGACGGGGGCCCGCACAAGCGGCGGAGCAUGUGGAUUAAUUCGAUGCAACGCGAAGAACCUUACCUGGGUUUGACAUACACCAGAAAGCCAUAGAGAUAUGGCCCCCCUUGUGGUUGGUGUACAGGUGGUGCACGGCCGUCGACAGCU